GAGUUUGAUCCUGGCUCAGAUUGAACGCUGGCGGCAUGCCUUACACAUGCAAGUCGAACGGCAGCACGGGAGCAAUCCUGGUGGCGAGUGGCGAACGGGUGAGUAAUGUAUCGGAACGUACCUUUCAGUGGGGGAUAACGUAGCGAAAGUUACGCUAAUACCGCAUAUUCUGUGAGCAGGAAAGCAGGGGAUCGCAAGACCUUGCGCUGAUUGAGCGGCCGAUAUCAGAUUAGCUAGUUGGUGAGGUAAAGGCUCACCAAGGCGACGAUCUGUAGCGGGUCUGAGAGGAUGAUCCGCCACACUGGAACUGAGACACGGUCCAGACUCCUACGGGAGGCAGCAGUGGGGAAUUUUGGACAAUGGGGGCAACCCUGAUCCAGCCAUGCCGCGUGAGUGAAGAAGGCCUUCGGGUUGUAAAGCUCUUUCGGCCGGGAAGAAAUCGCAUCAGCUAAUACCUGGUGUGGAUGACGGUACCGGAAUAAGAAGCACCGGCUAACUACGUGCCAGCAGCCGCGGUAAUAC
Molecule: ribosomal RNA, 522 nt
Filed under: uncultured beta proteobacterium
Lineage: Bacteria; Pseudomonadati; Pseudomonadota; Betaproteobacteria
Description: SSU rRNA
Rfam family: Bacterial small subunit ribosomal RNA
Source: RNAcentral